UGCUCCCCCAGCUCUGCAGAUCUGGCUGCCUCUGGCCUCAGCUGCCACUUCGUCAUCCCGGCCGGCUCAGGAAAAGGAGUCAUUUGUUGCCUGAACAUUGGGCUGAGUUGGUAAAAGUGACCGAAAAUGAAUCUGUAGGACUUUGGACUUUGCCUGUCCCUGGAAGACUCUGUGGCUAAACAGAAAUAACAAUAUGGGAGUGAAAGCUGAGAAAUGGAGUGGGAAGGGUUUCUGCAAAUGGGACAGCCCCAGCAUUCUCCAAAAGGACUUAGCAGCCUCUGCCAUCACUAACACCGUACUGACUGCUGAGCACUGAAUUACUUGGCCAUGAACCUAUGCAGAUACCCAACCACAUACUCUUCUUGUGGGCUCUUUGUGGAGGUGCCACCGGGUGUCUCUGAUCCCUGGGGCCCAGGCUGCCUCCAUAAGAAGGGGGCAUCACUGCUACUUUAUCUCCUGAAUUUUAGAGUAAGAGCUCCGGAUAUGGGUGAGGCUUUUGCUCUUUGAAGUAUUGCAUGGCAAGAUGGAAGAAGGUAAGAGCAGUAGGUAGAAGGUGAAGAACUUCUUAGGCCUUCAUUUCAGGCUCCUGAUUUCCCACGUAUCCAUAUUGUAAAGUCCCUUUCCAGCUGAUUUUCAGUUUCUCUGUAAUGAAAGCAGAAGCAUUGUGAAUAUUGGCUUUCCACACCAGAAGAGAUUAGAUAAAAAGAUGAUGCAAGCUCACUUUAAAGUCACAAUGUACUCUUAAGGAUAAAUCUUUCCACAAAACCCUGAAAAGCAGCUUGCAGCAGGGGUGGUGGGUUUAGGAAUCCAAGAGUAAGUAGUAGCUGAGCUGGCUCAGCAAUUUCCUAAGUUAGCAUUGAUUAAUCCUUCUUUCUAAUGUUACCUGUAUGAAACAAAUAGACCUUUGCCAUUUCAUUUGGUGGCCAUCUAUGUGCUGCUGGUUUAAUAGCUAAUUUAAGCUGUCCUACAUAAGUACUGCCUUUAUUUUCUGUUAGUUAUCUGUGAUUUUGCUGUUUUGUGUCCCUCCAGGUAUUAUGUGUCACUACUGAAUUAUUUUCUAAACAAUGCUCUGGGGAAGCUUAGAUAUAACCUGAAAGGUGAGACCUACCAUUGAAUUCCCAAACUUUCAAAAUCUUUGUAUUUAACCUCUGCUUGAGCUUUCUAGGUAUUUUGGCUAUGAGGUUUUCCACAUCUUAGCCCAGCUCUUCCCAAAGCUAAUUGUUACUGCCGCUGACCUGGAGUGAGUUGAGUGAGGAUCCUGACAGCUCUACAUCCACCUUAUCCUGAUUUUCUUUCUUUCUGAUUUAGUGUCUGAUGUAAUGUGCAGCGCUGAAUACCAAUGGUGUCUCAUUAAUGGAUUUUUUUCCUUCCUGUACUUUGUUUUGUAUUUAGAUCUAAUAAAUGUGGAUGGCUGCUGCUAAUGGAUGAAUUGGCAGUCCACAGUCUUUGUUGACAGAUUCAGCCAGCAACAUAUCUGUAUUUUUUUAAGAUGUUAAUCAGUUGUGUGCUCACUAAUGACUUUUGUGACUACAAAAGUUAGGGCUAGAGUGAUGAGGUAAGUGACAUACUUCCUAGGACACGCUUCCUAGUGUCAUGCUGGUUUUCAGUGCUCACACUUAUCAUUAGGGGUAC
Anas platyrhynchos (mallard) is the source of this 1632-nucleotide non-coding RNA. Lineage: Eukaryota; Metazoa; Chordata; Aves; Anseriformes; Anatidae. The record is from RefSeq and is a predicted model, not a curated record.